CCUGUCCCAAACUGAGCCUAUCCCGGGAUAAAACCACCCCAAAUCCUGUCCCAAACUGAGCCCUGUCCUGGGAUAAAACCACCCCAAAUCCUGUCCCAAACUGAGCCCUGUCCUGGGAUAAAACCACCCCAAAUCCUGUCCCAAACUGAGCCCUAUCCCGGGAUAAAACCACCCCAAAUCCUGUCCCAAACUGAGCCCUAUCCCGGGAUAAAACCACCCCAAAUCCUGUCCCAAACUGAGCCCUGUCCCGGGAGGGAAUCCUGCCCUGCCCAUUAUCCUAGCAUAAAUCCAGCCAACUUCCCACUAGGACUGAGGGAAUCCUGUCCCAAACCCCCACUCCUCCCAGGGAAUCCUAUCCCAAAUGGAUCCCUUAUCCCAGAUCCCCACUCCUCCCAGGGAAUCCUGUCCCAAAUGGAUCCCUUAUCUCAGAUCCCCACUCCUCCCAUGGAAUCCUAUCCCAAAUGGAUUCCUGUCCCAAACCCCCACUUCUCCCAUGGAAUCCUAUCCCAAACGGAUCCCUUAUCUCAGAUCCCCACUCCUCCCGGGAAUCCUGUCCCAAACUGAUCCCUUAUCCCAAACCCCCACUUCUCCCAUGGAAUCCUGUCCCAAACGGAUCCCUUAUCCCAAACCCCCACUCCUCCCGGGAUUCCUAUCCCAAACGGAUCCCUUAUCCCAAACCCCCACUCCUCCCGGGGAAUCCUGUCCCAAACUGAUCCCUUAUCCCAAACCCCCACUCCUCCCGGGGAAUCCUGUCCCAAACGGGUCCCUUAUCUCAGAUCCUCACUCCUCCUAUGGAAUCCUAUCCGAAAUGAACCCUUAUCCCAAACCCCCACUCCUCCCAGGAUUCCUAUCCCAAAUGGAUCUCUUAUCCCAAACCCCCACUCCUCCCAGGGAAUCCUGUUCCAAACGGGUCCCUUAUCCCAAACCCCCACUCCUCCCGGGGAAUCCUGUCCCAAACGGAUCCCUGUCCCAAACCCCCACUCCUCCCAUGGAAUCCUGUCCCAAACGGAUUCCUGUCCCAAACCCCCACUCCUCCCAGGGAAUCGUAUCCCAAAUGAACCCUUAUCCCAAACCCCCACUCCUCCCGGGGAAUCCUGUCCCAAAUGGAUCCCUUAUCUCAGAUCCCCACUCCUCCCAGGGAAUCCUGUUCCAAACGGGUCCCUUAUCCCAAACCCCCACUCCUCCCGGGAUUCCUAUCCCAAACGGAUCCCUUAUCCCAAACCCCCACUCCUCCCAGGGAAUCCUGUUCCAAACGGAUCCCUUAUCCCAAACCCCCACUCCUCCCAGGGAAUCNNNNNNNN
RNAcentral lists this long non-coding RNA (1301 nucleotides) under Lonchura striata (white-rumped munia). RNAcentral's name for it is "domestica (Bengalese finch) lncRNA (ENSLSDG00000001111.1)". The record is from RNAcentral. Lineage: Eukaryota; Metazoa; Chordata; Aves; Passeriformes; Estrildidae.